This 760-nucleotide ribosomal RNA is filed under the name Arthrobacter sp. THGR17. RNAcentral describes it as "bacterial SSU rRNA". It matches the Rfam family "Bacterial small subunit ribosomal RNA", at positions 74 to 844 of the family's 1533-position model. The record is from RNAcentral. Lineage: Bacteria; Bacillati; Actinomycetota; Actinomycetes; Micrococcales; Micrococcaceae.
UGGUGCUUGCACUGGUGAUUAGUGGCGAACGGGUGAGUAACACGUGAGUAACCUGCCCUUAACUCUGGGAUAAGCCUGGGAAACUGGGUCUAAUACCGGAUAUGACUCCUCAUCGCAUGGUGGGGGGUGGAAAGCUUUUUUGUGGUUUUGGAUGGACUCGCGGCCUAUCAGCUUGUUGGUGAGGUAAUGGCUCACCAAGGCGACGACGGGUAGCCGGCCUGAGAGGGUGACCGGCCACACUGGGACUGAGACACGGCCCAGACUCCUACGGGAGGCAGCAGUGGGGAAUAUUGCACAAUGGGCGAAAGCCUGAUGCAGCGACGCCGCGUGAGGGAUGACGGCCUUCGGGUUGUAAACCUCUUUCAGUAGGGAAGAAGCGAAAGUGACGGUACCUGCAGAAGAAGCGCCGGCUAACUACGUGCCAGCAGCCGCGGUAAUACGUAGGGCGCAAGCGUUAUCCGGAAUUAUUGGGCGUAAAGAGCUCGUAGGCGGUUUGUCGCGUCUGCCGUGAAAGUCCGGGGCUCAACUCCGGAUCUGCGGUGGGUACGGGCAGACUAGAGUGAUGUAGGGGAGACUGGAAUUCCUGGUGUAGCGGUGAAAUGCGCAGAUAUCAGGAGGAACACCGAUGGCGAAGGCAGGUCUCUGGGCAUUAACUGACGCUGAGGAGCGAAAGCAUGGGGAGCGAACAGGAUUAGAUACCCUGGUAGUCCAUGCCGUAAACGUUGGGCACUAGGUGUGGGGGACAUUCCACGUUUUCCGC